AGUGAACGCUGGCGGUAGGCCUAACACAUGCAAGUCGAACGGCAGCACAGUAAGAGCUUGCUCUUACGGGUGGCGAGUGGCGGACGGGUGAGGAAUACAUCGGAAUCUACUUUUUCGUGGGGGAUAACGUAGGGAAACUUACGCUAAUACCGCAUACGACCUACGGGUGAAAGCAGGGGAUCUUCGGACCUUGCGCGAUUGAAUGAGCCGAUGUCGGAUUAGCUAGUUGGCGGGGUAAAGGCCCACCAAGGCGAGGAUCCGUAGCUGGUCUGAGAGGAUGAUAGGCCACACUGGAACUGAGACACGGUCCAGACUCCUACGGGAGGCAGCAGUGGGGAAUAUUGGACAAUGGGCGCAAGCCUGAUCCAGCCAUACCGCGUGGGUGACGAAGGCCUUCGGGUUGUAAAGCCCUUUUGUUGGGAAAGAAAAGCAGCAGGUUAAUACCCCGCUGUUCUGACGGUACCCAAAGAAUAAGCACCGGCUAACUUCGUG
This 492-nucleotide ribosomal RNA is filed under the name uncultured bacterium. RNAcentral describes it as "partial 16S ribosomal RNA". It matches the Rfam family "Bacterial small subunit ribosomal RNA", at positions 29 to 507 of the family's 1533-position model. The record is from RNAcentral.